GGGGAUUUAGCUCAGUGGUGUAAGCACCGGCCUGGCAAGUGCUGAGGUCAUGAGUUCAAUCCUCAGUAUCCCCC
Molecule: transfer RNA, 74 nt
Filed under: Cavia porcellus (domestic guinea pig)
Lineage: Eukaryota; Metazoa; Chordata; Mammalia; Rodentia; Caviidae
Rfam family: tRNA
About the family: Transfer RNA (tRNA) molecules are approximately 80 nucleotides in length. Their secondary structure includes four short double-helical elements and three loops (D, anti-codon, and T loops).
Source: Rfam by way of RNAcentral